RNAcentral lists this ribosomal RNA (293 nucleotides) under uncultured bacterium. RNAcentral describes it as "partial 16S ribosomal RNA". It matches the Rfam family "Bacterial small subunit ribosomal RNA", at positions 505 to 796 of the family's 1533-position model. The record is from RNAcentral.
GUGUCAGCAGCCGCGGUAAGACGAACCGUGCGAACGUUAUUCGGAAUCAUUGGGCUUAAAGGGCGCGUAGGCGGCGGUGUAAGUUGGAAGUGAAAUCCCAUCGGCUCAACCGUGGAAUUGCUCCCAGUACUGCAUCGCUCGAGGGGGAUAGGGGUUUGCGGAACUACCGGUGGAGCGGUGAAAUGUGUUGAUAUCGGUGGGAACGCCAGUGGCGAAAGCGGCAAACUUGACCCUUCCUGACGCUGAGGCGCGAAAGCUAGGGGAGCAAACGGGAUUAGAUACCCCCGUAGUCC